GCGCACGCAGGCGGUCUGUUAAGUUGGAUGUGAAAUCCCCUGGCUUAACCUGGGAACUGCAUUCAAAACUGACAGGCUAGAGUCUUGUAGAGGGGGGUAGAAUUCCAGGUGUAGCGGUGAAAUGCGUAGAGAUCUGGAGGAAUACCGGUGGCGAAGGCGGCCCCCUGGACAAAGACUGACGCUCAGGUGCGAAAGCGUGGGGAGCAAACAGGAUUAGAUACCCUGGUAGUCCACGCUGUAAACGAUGUCGAUUUGGAGGUUGUGCCCUUGACGCGUGGCUUCCGGA
RNAcentral lists this ribosomal RNA (286 nucleotides) under Pectobacterium carotovorum. RNAcentral describes it as "partial 16S ribosomal RNA". It matches the Rfam family "Bacterial small subunit ribosomal RNA", at positions 565 to 850 of the family's 1533-position model. Lineage: Bacteria; Pseudomonadati; Pseudomonadota; Gammaproteobacteria; Enterobacterales; Pectobacteriaceae. The record is from RNAcentral.